GAUGAACGCUGGCGGCGUGCCUAAUACAUGCAAGUCGAGCGAACGGACGAGAAGCUUGCUUCUCUGAUGUUAGCGGCGGACGGGUGAGUAACACGUGGAUAACCUACCUAUAAGACUGGGAUAACUUCGGGAAACCGGAGCUAAUACCGGAUAAUAUUUUGAACCGCAUGGUUCAAAAGUGAAAGACGGUCUUGCUGUCACUUAUAGAUGGAUCCGCGCUGCAUUAGCUAGUUGGUAAGGUAACGGCUUACCAAGGCAACGAUGCAUAGCCGACCUGAGAGGGUGAUCGGCCACACUAGACCUGAGACACGGUCCAGACUCCUACGGGAGGCAGCAGUAGGGAAUCUUCCGCAAUGGGCGAAAGCCUGACGGAGCAACGCCGCGUGAGUGAUGAAGGUCUUCGGAUCGUAAAACUCUGUUAUUAGGGAAGAACAUAUGUGUAAGUAACUGUGCACAUCUUGACGGUACCUAAUCAGAAAGCCACGGCUAACUACGUG
This 497-nucleotide ribosomal RNA is filed under the name uncultured bacterium. Its description in RNAcentral is "partial 16S ribosomal RNA". It matches the Rfam family "Bacterial small subunit ribosomal RNA", at positions 28 to 507 of the family's 1533-position model. The record is from RNAcentral.